UGGGGAAUUUUGGACAAUGGGCGCAAGCCUGAUCCAGCAAUGACGCGUGCAGGAUGAAGGCCUUCGGGUUGUAAAUUGCUUUUGUACGGAACGAAACGGCUCUGUCUAAUACAUGGGGCUAAUGACGGUACUGUAAGAAUAAGCACCGGAUAACUACGUGCCAGCAGCCGCGGUAAUACGUAGGGUGCAAGCGUUAAUCGGAAUUACUGGGCGUAAAGCGUGUGCAGGCGGUGAUGUAAGAGAGGUGUGAAAUCCACGGGCUUAACCUUGGAAUUGCAUUUGUGACUGCACCGCUGGAGUGCCGCAGAGGGGGAUGGAAUUCCGCGUGUAGCAGUGAAAUGCGUAGAUAUGCGGAAGAACACCGAUGGCGAAGGCAAUCCCCUGGGCCUGCACUGACGCUCAUGCACGAAAGCGUGGGGAGCAAACA
Molecule: ribosomal RNA, 427 nt
Filed under: uncultured bacterium
Lineage: Bacteria
Description: bacterial SSU rRNA
Rfam family: Bacterial small subunit ribosomal RNA
Source: RNAcentral